RNAcentral lists this ribosomal RNA (497 nucleotides) under uncultured bacterium. Its description in RNAcentral is "partial 16S ribosomal RNA". It matches the Rfam family "Bacterial small subunit ribosomal RNA", at positions 28 to 507 of the family's 1533-position model. The record is from RNAcentral.
GAUGAACGCUGGCGGCGUGCCUAAUACAUGCAAGUAGAACGCUGAAGGAAGGAGCUUGCUCUUUCCGGGUGAGUUGCGCACGGGUGAGUAACGCGUAGGUAACCUGCCUGGUAGCGGGGGAUAACUAUUGGAAACGAUAGCUAAUACCGCAUAACAGUAGAUGUUGCAUGAUAUCUACUUAAAAGGUGCAAUUGCACCACUACCAGAUGGACCUGCGUUGUAUUAGGUAGUUGGUGAGGUAACGGCUCACCAAGGCGAGGUUACAUAGCCAGCCUGAGAGGGCGGGUGGCCACACUGGGAGGGAGACACGGCCCAGAGGGACUGGGAAGGCAGCCGGACGGAUACGGGAGCAAUGGAUGGAAGUUUGUGCGAGAAAGGCCGAGGGAGGGAGGAAGGUCGCCGGAUCGUGAAGGUCGGUCGUAAGAGAAGAAAGAGUGCGAGAGUGUAAAGUUCACACUGUGACGGUAUCUGAUCAGAAAGGGACGGCUAACUACGUG